Molecule: non-coding RNA, 1881 nt
Organism: Corylus avellana
Lineage: Eukaryota; Viridiplantae; Streptophyta; Magnoliopsida; Fagales; Betulaceae
Source: RefSeq, a predicted model, not a curated record
AUGAUGAACCUGAUAAGUAGGCCUCGCUUGGAUGCGAUCCUCUCCACUUUCGUUACAGUGCACCCUCACGAGACCUCCGCGUUGCUCCACUCCUCCUCCUGCUUCUUCUUCAUCUUGAGCGCGUAUUUCGUGGUGCUUCCAUUGCGGGAUGAGGGUGCCAUCUCUUUGGGCCUAUCGAACCUACCGGGUCUCUUUGUGGGUUCCUUGGUGCUAACUUUGAUUGCUGCGCCUCUUUCCACUCUCAUUUUCUCUUUGCCUCACCUUUCCAAAGGCAAGGCUUUGGUUUUGAUACACAGGUUUUUUAGUGUAUCACUUGUUGUAUUCUUCAUUCUGUGGCUUUCAUCGUCGGCUGAAUAUUCAGUAUCCACAUUGAAGGAUUCAAUGGCUACAUCCUCCACUACAAAAGAGGAUCAAAAGGUUGACAUUAACCAAGCCAGUUCUACAUAUUCUGUAGAUUGGGAUAACCACGGAUGGUGUUAUAUGUUAGUGAGGAUUGGAUUCUUCCUUUGGGUUGCUCUGCUUAAUCUAAUUACAAUUUCUUCAACUUGGGCAAGAGUAAUUGAUGUGAUGGACAGUGAGGUUCAAGAUUGUUUGGGUUCAUUGGUGCUGGUGCCACACUUGGCCAGCUUUUUGGGUCAUUGUUUGCCACAGGAAUGGCUCGUUUGGGGCCAUUCAUCAAAAGGGAUAAACCAGGAUGUGACCCAUGACUCCAGUCUUCCUGAGGAAUUAUCUCCCAUCAGAGAAACUGAUCCUGAUCAACAAAGUCAGUCUGAUGGGCAGACUGCAAGCACUCUCAAAAGUUGUUCUCCCAAGUCGUCUACUUCCAUGGCAAAGCCUCAGCUUUGGGCUGCCUUAGAUGGAUUCCGGCUUAUUUUGUCAUCAACUUAUUUGUUGUACAUGUCUUUGUUCCUGUGGCUGAGUGCAGUUGUCUCUUCAUUCUUCUAUUUUCAAAAAGUGACUGUAAUUGCCACAACUGUUACUAGCUCUGUUGGCAGAAGAAGAUUGUUUGCCCAGAUAAAUAGCUUCAUUGCUGUUUUUAUCCUUGCUGGACAACUAACCUUGACGGGGCGCAUUCUUACUGUUGCUGGGGUUACUACAGCUAUUUGCUCUGCUCCAUUUGUUUCCUUCUUGAAUUUGGUUGCUAUUGCUGUUUGGCCAACUUGGGUAGUCAUUGCUAUUUCCGAGACCUUGCGAAAGGUUGUUACUUAUGUUGUGACCAGGCCCGGAAGAGAACUCCUAUUUACUGUUGUCUCACAGGAUGAGAAAUACAAAGCUAAGGCAUGACUCCCUUUUUUUCCUGAAUAUAUUUUAAUGUAUGUUUUAAUUUUUUGCACAGAAAUGCAGUUGCAGCUGGUUAUGAAUGUUCAAAUUUCAAACUCUUCCUCAAGUUGAGAUAGGGCUUUGAUCUUAAGCAAUAUAUAUUCAAGCAUGUGCAUGCACUCACACACACACAAUGUUUCAUUGGCUAUUUUCUACUGCAAUAAUUGGGUACCACACACAAAUAAGGUUAAUCCAAAAACUCAUUAGAACACUUCUCUGAUAAUUCAUGCUACUGCAGGUAUGCAUAGAUGUAUUCAUUCAAAGACUUGGAGAUGCUACAGCAGCAGGGAUGUACAAGCUACUUUUCAGCACUCUCAAUGGCAGAACAUCCACUGUCUCAAUCUUUGCCCUGCCUGUAUGUUUAUUGUGGAUAGUCACAGCAUUCCAUUUAGGACGCCGCCAACAACAGCUUGCCAAGCUCCGGACAGUCUCGACUUCCUAAAAUUUUGUAAAUAUAAAACAUAUGUUGGUUGCAGAAUUGUGAUGGUCGCCACUCCAAGACAUGCCAUGCGUGUACGAUACUGCUGAUUUGCACCAUCUAAUGCACUCUCCAUUCAUGCA